Molecule: unclassified non-coding RNA, 88 nt
Filed under: Pseudomonas trivialis
Lineage: Bacteria; Pseudomonadati; Pseudomonadota; Gammaproteobacteria; Pseudomonadales; Pseudomonadaceae
Source: RNAcentral
GUGGGAGGGGGCUUGCUCCCGAUAGCGGCGGAUCAGUUGAUCAAUGUGCCAACUGGUAAACCGCAAUCGGGAGCAAGCCCCCUCCCAC